GGGCAAUCUGCCCUGCACUCUGGGACAAGCCCUGGAAACGGGGUCUAAUACCGGAUACUGAUCCUCGCAGGCAUCUGCGAGGUUCGAAAGCUCCGGCGGUGCAGGAUGAGCCCGCGGCCUAUCAGCUAGUUGGUGAGGUAACGGCUCACCAAGGCGACGACGGGUAGCCGGCCUGAGAGGGCGACCGGCCACACUGGGACUGAGACACGGCCCAGACUCCUACGGGAGGCAGCAGUGGGGAAUAUUGCACAAUGGGCGAAAGCCUGAUGCAGCGACGCCGCGUGAGGGAUGACGGCCUUCGGGUUGUAAACCUCUUUCAGCAGGGAAGAAGCGAAAGUGACGGUACCUGCAGAAGAAGCGCCGGCUAACUACGUGCCAGCAGCCGCGGUAAUACGUAGGGCGCAAGCGUUGUCCGGAAUUAUUGGGCGUAAAGAGCUCGUAGGCGGCUUGUCACGUCGGUUGUGAAAGCCCGGGGCUUAACCCCGGGUCUGCAGUCGAUACGGGCAGGCUAGAGUUCGGUAGGGGAGAUCGGAAUUCCUGGUGUAGCGGUGAAAUGCGCAGAUAUCAGGAGGAACACCGGUGGCGAAGGCGGAUCUCUGGGCCGAUACUGACGCUGAGGAGCGAAAGCGUGGGGAGCGAACAGGAUUAGAUACCCUGGUAGUCCACGCCGUAAACGGUGGGCACUAUGUGUGGGCAACAUUCCACGUUGUCCGUGCCGCAGCUAACGCAUUAAGUGCCCCGCCUGGGGAGUACGGCCGCAAGGCUAAAACUCAAGGAAUUUGACGGGGGCCCGCACAAGCGGCGGAGCAUGUGGCUUAAUUUCGACGCAACGCGAAGAACCCUUACCAGGCUUGACAUACACCGGGAAACCCUGGAGACAGGGUCCCCUUGGUGUCGGGUGGUACAGGUGGUGCAUGGCUGUCGUCAGCUCGUGUCGUGAGAUUGUUGGUUACGUCCGCACGACGCAUCCCUUGUCCGUGUGCACAGGCCUUGGUGGUGCUGGGACUCACGGAACGCGGGGUUCAACUCGACGAGGUGGG
RNAcentral lists this ribosomal RNA (1040 nucleotides) under Streptomyces enissocaesilis. RNAcentral describes it as "bacterial SSU rRNA". It matches the Rfam family "Bacterial small subunit ribosomal RNA", at positions 119 to 1177 of the family's 1533-position model. The record is from RNAcentral. Lineage: Bacteria; Bacillati; Actinomycetota; Actinomycetes; Kitasatosporales; Streptomycetaceae.